AGAGUUUGAUCAUGGCUCAGGACGAACGCUGGCGGUGUGCCUCACACAUGCAAGUCGAACGGGGUAGCAAUACCCAGUGGCGGACGGGUGAGUAACACGUGGGAAUCUGCCUCAUAGAGGGGAAUAGCAGGCCGAAAGGCCUAUUAAUUCCGCAUACGUCGCAAGAUAAAAGGAGCAAUCCGCUAUGAGAUGAGCCCGCGCCCGAUUAGCUAGUUGGUAAGGUAAAGGCUUACCAAGGCUACGAUCGGUAGCUGGUCUGAGAGGAUGAUCAGCCACAAUGGAACUGAGACACGGUCCAUACUCCUACGGGAGGCAGCAGUGGGGAAUUUUACACAAUGGGCGAAAGCCUGAUGUAGCGACACCGCGUGAGCGAAGAAGCCUUUUGGGGUGUAAAGCUCUGUCAGCAGGGACGAAAAAAAUGACGGUACCUGCAGAGGAAGCAUCGGCUAACUACGUGCCAGCAGCCGCGGUAAGACGUAGGAUGCAAGCGUUGUCCGGAUUUAUCGGGCGUAAAGAGUUCGUAGGUGGUUUGUUAAGUCUGAUGUUAAAGACUGGGGCUCAACCUCGGGACUGCAUUGGAUACUGGCAGACUUGAGUGCGGUAGAGGCAGGUGGAAUUCCAGGUGUAGCGGUGAAAUGCGUAGAUAUCUGGAAGAACACCGGUGGGCAAGCGACUUGCUGGGCCGUAACUGACACUGAGGAACGAAAGCUAGGGGAGCGAAUGGGAUUAGAUACCCCAGUAGUCC
Molecule: ribosomal RNA, 745 nt
Filed under: uncultured bacterium
Lineage: Bacteria
Description: bacterial SSU rRNA
Rfam family: Bacterial small subunit ribosomal RNA
Source: RNAcentral